CCUACGGGAGGCAGCAGUGGGGAAUAUUGCACAAUGGGCGCAAGCCUGAUGCAGCCAUGCCGCGUGUGUGAAGAAGGCCUUCGGGUUGUAAAGCACUUUCAGCGGGGAGGAAGGCGUUAAGGUUAAUAACCUUGGCGAUUGACGUUACCCGCAGAAGAAGCACCGGCUAACUCCGUGCCAGCAGCCGCGGUAAUACGGAGGGUGCAAGCGUUAAUCGGAAUUACUGGGCGUAAAGCGCACGCAGGCGGUCUGUCAAGUCGGAUGUGAAAUCCCCGGGCUCAACCUGGGAACUGCAUUCGAAACUGGCAGGCUAGAGUCUUGUAGAGGGGGGUAGAAUUCCAGGUGUAGCGGUGAAAUGCGUAGAGAUCUGGAGGAAUACCGGUGGCGAAGGCGGCCCCCUGGACAAAGACUGACGCUCAGGUGCGAAAGCGUGGGGAGCAAACAGGAUUUAGAUACCCGAGUAGUC
Molecule: ribosomal RNA, 466 nt
Filed under: uncultured Klebsiella sp.
Lineage: Bacteria; Pseudomonadati; Pseudomonadota; Gammaproteobacteria; Enterobacterales; Enterobacteriaceae
Description: bacterial SSU rRNA
Rfam family: Bacterial small subunit ribosomal RNA
Source: RNAcentral